ACGCUAGCAGAGCGCCAAUUGCACGCGAGUAGAACGCGAUUGAAACGCUAUUGAAACGCUAUUGGUGCACUAUUGUUUGACUUUCGCAUCAUAUAAACGCAUCAUAUAAUUGUAAUUGUAGUCUUUUAAUACGUACUAUGCUAUAUAAAGAAAUAUUAUACGGAAAGAAUAUAGCAGCGAUGAAAGUAAAUGACCUAAGUGAAAACUUUUUAGAAGUUAUCUGCAAUUCAGGAUGAAAAUAGUUAUAUUAGUUAGUUGCUGUGCGACUCUGUUAUGUUCUAACUCAACGAUGACAACAUUUUGAUUUGUAUUUGACAAUUCCGAUGAAUUCAAUCGUUCUCUUCAUCCAGUUAUUAUACCAGACAAUAGUCAGUUCAUCAUCCUCUUCUCUUUGGAAAUUUGUUACAAUUCAUAUAUAAAAUUAUUUCCUAAAUAAUUUACUUCGCUCUACAAUCUCAAUUCCCAUGGAAGACUAUUACUCAGUAAAGAAGAAGACUCCGUUACAGCAUGGAUUCAAGUCAUAAGGGUUUCAUUUUCUUGGGGUGAACAACAUGAAGAUUUGUUUUAACAAUUUUCUCCUUCGAAGAGAUUUAUUGUGAAAUAUUAAAUGAAUAGAAUGCAGCUGCAGUGACAAGAAAUAAUCAAAACCAGAAUCUGUAAAAAGGUUUUCAAUCAUUUUACUGGAAGAGAGAGCGCAUUAUUUUCAACAACAAUAAGAAGAACCCGACAACACUGCAAUCAUGAAAAAUUUUAUAAGACACCGUCUUCUAUUUACUUAUACUAGGAGAAAAUCAUAUGCUAUAAUAUUCUAUCAAAAGAAUUAAAAGAGGAAUGCAUCCUAAUUAUUCUAAAUUUAAAAAAUAACAUAUACAAAUACAUUAUAUUAGAAAAUUUGUUAUAUGUACAAAAUGUAUCGCUAAGUUUUGUACUAGGUAUUAAAAGGCAUUAUUGUUUAUCGACUUACAAGAAAAUAUUGAAGACUUGUAUCAACUAAUUUCUCCUUCGUAAAGAUUCCAUUUGAAUUAUCAUGCGAAUAGAAUGCAGCUGCAGUGACAAGGAGAAUAAUCAAGACCAGAGUUUAUUAAAAGAGAACGAAUCCACGAGAAUUAUCGUGAACUACAACAAGAAUAUGAUGAACAAAAAGACACAUUGGAUGAAGUAAAAA
This 1165-nucleotide unclassified non-coding RNA is filed under the name Polistes fuscatus (common paper wasp). RNAcentral's name for it is "chromosome partition protein Smc-like, transcript variant X1". Lineage: Eukaryota; Metazoa; Arthropoda; Insecta; Hymenoptera; Vespidae. The record is from RNAcentral.